AGAGUUUGAUCCUGUCUCAGGACGAACGCUGGCGGCGUGCUUAACACAUGCAACCUCGAGCGGUAAGGCCUUUCGGGGUACACGAGCGGCGAACGGGUGAGUAACACGUGGGUGAUCUGCCCUGCACUUCGGGAUAAGCCUGGGAAACUGGGUCUAAUACCGGAUAUGACCUCCUAUCGCAUGGUGGGUGGUGGAAAGAUUUAUCGGUGCAGGAUGGGCCCGCGGCCUAUCAGCUUGUUGGUGGGGUAAUGGCCUACCAAGGCGACGACGGGUAGCCGACCUGAGAGGGUGACCGGCCACACUGGGACUGAGACACGGCCCAGACUCCUACGGGAGGCAGCAGUGGGGAAUAUUGCACAAUGGGCGAAAGCCUGAUGCAGCGACGCCGCGUGAGGGAUGACGGCCUUCGGGUUGUAAACCUCUUUCAGCAGGGACGAAGCGCAAGUGACGGUACCUGCAGAAGAAGCCCCGGCUAACUUCGUGCCAGCAGCCGCGGUAAUACGAAGGGGGCUAGCGUUGUUCGGAUUUACUGGGCGUAAAGCGCACGUAGGCG
RNAcentral lists this ribosomal RNA (553 nucleotides) under uncultured bacterium. RNAcentral describes it as "bacterial SSU rRNA". It matches the Rfam family "Bacterial small subunit ribosomal RNA", at positions 8 to 577 of the family's 1533-position model. The record is from RNAcentral.